GAUGAACGCUGGCGGCGUGCCUAAUACAUGCAAGUCGAGCGAACAGACGAGGAGCUUGCUCCUCUGACGUUAGCGGCGGACGGGUGAGUAACACGUGGAUAACCUACCUAUAAGACUGGGAUAACUUCGGGAAACCGGAGCUAAUACCGGAUAAUAUAUUGAACCGCAUGGUUCAAUAGUGAAAGACGGUUUUGCUGUCACUUAUAGAUGGAUCCGCGCCGCAUUAGCUAGUUGGUAAGGUAACGGCUUACCAAGGCGACGAUGCGUAGCCGACCUGAGAGGGUGAUCGGCCACACUGGAACUGAGACACGGUCCAGACUCCUACGGGAGGCAGCAGUAGGGAAUCUGCCGCAAUGGGCGAAAGCCUGACGGAGCAACGCCGCGUGAGUGAUGAAGGUCUUCGGAUCGUAAAACUCUGUUAUUAGGGAAGAACAAAUGUGUAAGUAACUGUGCACGUCUUGACGGUACCUAAUCAGAAAGCCACGGCUAACUACGUG
RNAcentral lists this ribosomal RNA (497 nucleotides) under uncultured bacterium. Its description in RNAcentral is "partial 16S ribosomal RNA". It matches the Rfam family "Bacterial small subunit ribosomal RNA", at positions 28 to 507 of the family's 1533-position model. The record is from RNAcentral.